This 429-nucleotide ribosomal RNA is filed under the name bacterium. Its description in RNAcentral is "partial 16S ribosomal RNA". It matches the Rfam family "Bacterial small subunit ribosomal RNA", at positions 355 to 776 of the family's 1533-position model. The record is from RNAcentral.
UGGGGAAUUUUGGACAAUGGGGGCAACCCUGAUCCAGCAAUGCCGCGUGUGUGAAGAAGGCCUUCGGGUUGUAAAGCACUUUUGUCCGGAAAGAAAACUUCGGGGCUAAUACCCCUGGAGGAUGACGGUACCGGAAGAAUAAGCACCGGCUAACUACGUGCCAGCAGCCGCGGUAAAACGUAGGGUGCGAGCGUUAAUCGGAAUUACUGGGCGUAAAGCGUGCGCAGGCGGUGCUGUAAGACCGAUGUGAAAUCCCCGGGCUUAACCUGGGAACUGCAUUGGUGACUGCAGCGCUGGAGUAUGGCAGAGGGGGGUGGAAUUCCACGUGUAGCAGUGAAAUGCGUAGAGAUGUGGAGGAACACCGAUGGCGAAGGCAGCCCCCUGGGCCAAUACUGACGCUCAUGCACGAAAGCGUGGGGAGCAAACAGG